GCAUUUGCAAGUUGUUCUCUCCGGUCGUUUCAGAAGCCUCUCUCUCGUAAACAAGUUCAUGCUCUGAAUGGGCCAGUGAUUUGUGAACACUAUGAUGGCAUCUUGUUUUGCACUGCACGUUCAGAGGAGCAGACCCUGUCCUAAAUUUUUAUGACCCAACUGCUCCGUACUCCCUGGUUAAUGGCACAACUGCUCUGUUUCCUCUACUCUGUCUGAAAGUGUAGAAAGUAAAAUAAAUUGGUCAAUGCAACACUCGGCACCAAAUUCGCAGUCUGACUACGAACUGCGUGGGGUAUAUACACCUGGUUCAGAGAAAAUUCAAAGAAGAAAUUGUCAUUAGAAAUUCAAAGGAAAUUACCGAUCUGACAGACUAACUCCCUAGUCA
RNAcentral lists this long non-coding RNA (385 nucleotides) under Hordeum vulgare. RNAcentral's name for it is "long non-coding RNA (HVUL_LNC016374)". Lineage: Eukaryota; Viridiplantae; Streptophyta; Magnoliopsida; Poales; Poaceae. The record is from RNAcentral.